UGGCAGAUCUUAACUUCAGGAAGGUUGC
This 28-nucleotide non-coding RNA is filed under the name Rattus norvegicus (Norway rat). Lineage: Eukaryota; Metazoa; Chordata; Mammalia; Rodentia; Muridae. The record is from RNAcentral.